GAUGAACGCUGGCGGCGUGCCUAAUACAUGCAAGUCGAGCGAACAGAUGAGGAGCUUGCUCCUCUGACGUUAGCGGCGGACGGGUGAGUAACACGUUGAUAACCUACCUAUAAGACUGGGAUAACUUCGGGAAACCGGAGCUAAUACCGGAUAAUAUAUUGAACCGCGUGGUUCAAUAGUGAAAGACGGUUUUGCUGUCACUUAUAGAUGGAUCCGCGCCGCAUUAGCUAGUUGGUAAGGUAACGGCUUACCAAGGCAACGAUGCGUAGCCGACCUGAGAGGGUGAUCGGCCACACUGGAACUGAGACACGGUCCAGACUCCUACGGGAGGCAGCAAUAGGGAAUCUUCCGCAAUGGGCGAAAGCCCGACGGAGCAACGCCGCGUGAGUGAUGAAGGUCUUCGGAUCGUAAAACUCUGUUAUUAGGGAAGAACAAAUGUGUAAGUAACUAUGCACGUCUUGACGGUACCUAAUCAGAAAGCCACGGCUAACUACGU
This 496-nucleotide ribosomal RNA is filed under the name uncultured bacterium. Its description in RNAcentral is "partial 16S ribosomal RNA". It matches the Rfam family "Bacterial small subunit ribosomal RNA", at positions 28 to 506 of the family's 1533-position model. The record is from RNAcentral.